RNAcentral lists this ribosomal RNA (777 nucleotides) under uncultured Neocallimastigales. RNAcentral describes it as "partial large subunit ribosomal RNA". It matches the Rfam family "Eukaryotic large subunit ribosomal RNA", at positions 24 to 635 of the family's 3401-position model. The record is from RNAcentral. Lineage: Eukaryota; Fungi; Neocallimastigomycota; Neocallimastigomycetes; Neocallimastigales.
UAUCUCUGUAGAGUCUGCAUAUCAAUAAGCGGAGGAAAAGAAACUAACAAGGAUUCCCUUAGUAACGGCGAGUGAAGCGGGAAGAGCUCAAAUUUGAAAUCUUCAAGGUUCUACCUUGACGAAUUGUAGUUUAAAGAAGUGUUUUCUGUUAGGAGUUUGAGUAAAAGUUCCUUGGAAUAGGGACAUCAUAGAGGGUGAGAAUCCCGUAUUUGGUUAUUCAUUCUAGCUUUGUGAUACACUUUCAAAGAGUCGGAUUGUUUGGGAAUGCAGUCCAAAAUGGGUGGUAAAUUUCAUCUAAAGCUAAAUACUGGCGAGAGACCGAUAGCGAACAAGUACCGUGAGGGAAAGAUGAAAAGAACUUUGAAAAGAGAGUUAAACAGUACGUGAAAUUGUCAAAAGGGAAGCGUUUGACACCAGUGUUGUUUUUCCGAAAAUCAAUUACGAAUGGCUUGAUUCUGUGUUGUAUUGACCUUAUCAGCUUUCUUCACUUUUUUCGAGUCUUUCUUAAUGCACUUUUUCGGUUAACAAGUCAACAUCAAUUUCUUUUGUUGUAAAAGAGUAUUCGGAAGGUGGCUUUCUUUUCGGAGAAAGUGUUUAUAGCCCUAUACUUCUACAAUCGGAGAGAUUGAGGUCUGCAGCGUAGAUCCUUCGGGGUUAGAUACACUUGUGCUAAGUUGUAGCUUUUCAUAGACAACUUGUUGACUAUGUUUAGUCAUGCGGCUUACUCGCUUGUGCUAUUUUACCUACGCUUAGGAUGUUGAAGAUGUAGCACAUCAU